AUUGAACGCUGGCGGCAGGCCUAACACAUGCAAGUCGAGCGGAGCGGCGGACGGGUGAGUAAUGCCUAGGAAUCUGCUUGGUAGUGGGGGAUAACGUCCGGAAACGGGCGCUAAUACCGCAUACUAUCAGAUGAGCCUAGGUCGGAUUAGCUAGUUGGUGGGGUAAAGGCCUACCAAGGCGACGAUCCGUAACUGGGCUGAGAGGAUGAUCAGUCACACUGGAACUGAGACACGGCCCAGACUCCUACGGGAGGCAGCAGUUGGGAAUAUUGGACAAUGGGCGAAAGUCUGAUGCAGCAACGCCGCGUGUGUGAAGAAGGUCUUCGGAUUGUAAAGCACUUUUAUUUGUGAGGCGUUACUAACAGAAUAAGCACCGGCUAACUUCGUGCCAGCAGCCGCGGUAAUUC
RNAcentral lists this ribosomal RNA (407 nucleotides) under uncultured bacterium. RNAcentral's name for it is "partial 16S ribosomal RNA". It matches the Rfam family "Bacterial small subunit ribosomal RNA", at positions 30 to 526 of the family's 1533-position model. The record is from RNAcentral.